This 237-nucleotide ribosomal RNA is filed under the name uncultured Staphylococcus sp. RNAcentral describes it as "partial 16S ribosomal RNA". It matches the Rfam family "Bacterial small subunit ribosomal RNA", at positions 103 to 334 of the family's 1533-position model. The record is from RNAcentral. Lineage: Bacteria; Bacillati; Bacillota; Bacilli; Caryophanales; Staphylococcaceae.
CGGGUGAGUAACACGUGGAUAACCUACCUAUAAGACUGGGAUAACUUCGGGAAACCGGAGCUAAUACCGGAUAAUAUUUUGAACCGCAUGGUUCAAAAGUGAAAGACGGUCUUGCUGUCACUUAUAGAUGGAUCCGCGCUGCAUUAGCUAGUUGGUAAGGUAACGGCUUACCGAGGCAACGAUGCAUAGCCGACCUGAGAGGGUGAUCGGCCACACUGGAACUGAGACACGGUCCAG